CUACGGGCGGCAGCAGUGAGGAAUAUUGCACAAUGGGGGGAACCCUGAUGCAGCAACGCCGCGUGGAGGAUGACGCAUUUCGGUGUGUAAACUCCUUUUAUAUGUCAAGAAAAUGACGGUAGCAUAUGAAUAAGCACCGGCUAACUCCGUGCCAGCAGCCGCGGUAAUACGUGAGGGUGCAAGCGUUACCCGGAAUCACUGGGCGUAAAGGACGCGUAGGCGGGUUGGAAAGUCAGGUGUGAAAUCCUACAGCUUAACUGUAGAACUGCACUUGAAACUUCUAAUCUAGAGUAUGGGAGGGGGAGAUGGAAUUAGUGGUGUAGGGGUAAAAUCCGUAGAUAUCACUAGGAAUACCUAAAGCGAAGGCGAUCUCCUGGAACAUUACUGACGCUAAGGCGUGAAAGCGUGGGGAGCAAACAGGAUUAGAUACCCGGGUAGUC
RNAcentral lists this ribosomal RNA (440 nucleotides) under uncultured bacterium. RNAcentral's name for it is "partial 16S ribosomal RNA". It matches the Rfam family "Bacterial small subunit ribosomal RNA", at positions 339 to 795 of the family's 1533-position model. The record is from RNAcentral.